ACGGGAGGCAGCAGUGGGGAAUAUUGCACAAUGGGGGGAACCCUGAUGCAGCGACGCCGCGUGAGUGAAGAAGUAUUUCGGUAUGUAAAGCUCUAUCAGCAGGGAAGAAGAUGACGGUACCUGCAUAAGAAGCCCCGGCUAACUACGUGCCAGCAGCCGCGGUAAUACGUAGGGGGCAAGCGUUAUCCGGAUUUACUGGGUGUAAAGGGAGCGUAGGUGGCAUGGCAAGUCAGAAGUGAAACCCCAGGGCUUAACUUUGGGAUUGCUUUUGAAACUGUCAGGCUAGAGUACAGGAGGGGUAAGCGGAAUUCCCAGUGUAGCGGUGAAAUGCGUAGAUAUUGGGAAGAACACCGGCGGCGAAGGCGGCUUACUGGACUGAAACUGACACUGAGGCUCGAAAGCGUGGGGAGCAAACAGGAUUAGAUACCCUGGUA
RNAcentral lists this ribosomal RNA (434 nucleotides) under uncultured Lachnospiraceae bacterium. Its description in RNAcentral is "bacterial SSU rRNA". It matches the Rfam family "Bacterial small subunit ribosomal RNA", at positions 341 to 792 of the family's 1533-position model. Lineage: Bacteria; Bacillati; Bacillota; Clostridia; Lachnospirales; Lachnospiraceae. RNAcentral also lists the same sequence under 1 other name. The record is from RNAcentral.